UGUGUGGGGCUCAAUUGUGCUUGCCCCAAUUAUGCUUUGUUAAUGUAGAACUUGUUUUACAGUUUUAUUUUUUACAGUGGCCAGUACUACUUCUACAGCUACUACUCAAACUAGGAAGGAGACUGAAAAAGGUUCACAAAAUCCGCAACCACUUACUAAGAAGCAUUUGGAUGAAUCCCUAAUUGAUUUCAAUGGAAGUACAUGGAAGGAGUUGGGACUGCAACUAGGAUUAUCUUAUAAUUAUUCUCACGCUGAAGAGGGCCUUAGAGAGUGUCUAGUUAAAUGGUUGCAGAGACCUGAUGGUGGAGGACCUAAUUGGACCACUCUGGUUGAGUCUCUUGAUAAAAAACCAACAGCUGAUCACUUCAAAGCUCUCAGUGUAUGUGAUUUAGAUGGUAUCCUUACAGACUUGAAGGAUGGUCAUUAUUAUAGUAGCGAUUGGAAAGAGCUAGGACUUGAAAUGGGAUUAUAUUAUAAUACACUG
Amphimedon queenslandica is the source of this 484-nucleotide long non-coding RNA. RefSeq lists it as uncharacterized. NCBI's taxonomy places the organism in Eukaryota, Metazoa, Porifera, Demospongiae, Haplosclerida, Niphatidae. The transcript has 3 exons. The record is from RefSeq and is a predicted model, not a curated record.